Molecule: non-coding RNA, 24 nt
Filed under: Arabidopsis thaliana (thale cress)
Lineage: Eukaryota; Viridiplantae; Streptophyta; Magnoliopsida; Brassicales; Brassicaceae
Source: RNAcentral
AGGAUUAACCAGUUGGAGGUUCCU